CCUACGGGAGGCAGCAGUGGGGAAUAUUGCGCAAUGGGCGAAAGCCUGACGCAGCAACGCCGCGUGGGGGAUGAAGGUUCUCGGAUUGUAAACCCCUUUCGAUCGGAACGAAUCUCCUCCUGGUAAAUAAUCAGGAGGAUCGACGGUACCGGGAGAAGAAGCCACGGCUAACUCUGUGCCAGCAGCCGCGGUAAGACAGAGGUGGCGAGCGUUGUUCGGAUUUAUUGGGCGUAAAGCGAACGCAGGUGGUUUGGUAAGUCAGAGGUGAAAGUCCACAGCUUAACUGUGGCACUGCCUUUGAUACUGCCUUUCUAGAGUGCAUGAGGGGGAAGCGGAAUUCCGAGUGUAGAGGUGAAAUUCGUAGAUAUUCGGAGGAACACCGGUGGCGAAGGCGGCUUCCUGGCAUGUAACUGACACUCAUGUUCGAAAGCGUGGGUAGCAAACAGGAUUAGAUACCCUGGUAGUCCACGCCCUAAACGAUGGGCACUAGGUGUGGGAGGUAUCGACCCCUUCCGUGCCGCAGCUAACGCAUUAAGUGCCCCGCCUGGGGAGUACGGCCGCAAGGUUGAAACUCAAAGGAAUUGACGG
Molecule: ribosomal RNA, 588 nt
Filed under: uncultured bacterium
Lineage: Bacteria
Description: bacterial SSU rRNA
Rfam family: Bacterial small subunit ribosomal RNA
Source: RNAcentral